Molecule: long non-coding RNA, 230 nt
Organism: Haliotis rubra (blacklip abalone)
Lineage: Eukaryota; Metazoa; Mollusca; Gastropoda; Lepetellida; Haliotidae
Exons: 3
Source: RefSeq, a predicted model, not a curated record
AUGCCGGAAACAGACUCAAUACAUUGAUGAUGGCAGUUCCUCGGAUGUGCCCUUCCGGAACAUGACCAGCAUUGAGGUGCUUUUUCUCUGCGAGGUCUUGGUGAGACAAGCUUGUCCUCUUCAACUCUGAUUGGAAAGUCACUGCAAGCUGGUUAUGAUAGCAACGUGAUGGAAUUGAUUGUCGCUUAGCCACCGAAGACCGAAGACAGUUCAAUAUAUUACAAAUACAC